This 72-nucleotide transfer RNA is filed under the name Camelus bactrianus (Bactrian camel). It matches the Rfam family "tRNA". From Rfam's summary of the family: Transfer RNA (tRNA) molecules are approximately 80 nucleotides in length. Their secondary structure includes four short double-helical elements and three loops (D, anti-codon, and T loops). The record is from Rfam by way of RNAcentral. RNAcentral also lists the same sequence under 2 other names. Lineage: Eukaryota; Metazoa; Chordata; Mammalia; Artiodactyla; Camelidae.
AGGGGUAUAGCUUAGCGGUAGAGCGUGUGCUUAGCAUGUACGAGGUCCUGGGGUCAAUCCUCAAUACUUCCG